GUGGAAAGCCGCCUGCUGUGAGCUUGCUGAACCGGUGUAUUUCUCAGGUCACUGGAUGACGGCUUUGGCAGAAACAAAUAGCAGGUAGUUGGAGAAUCUGGCAAUAUGAAACACUGAGAAUUCCAGGGACGGGGGAGCCUGGUGGGCUGCCAUUUAUGGGGUUGCACAGAGUCGGACACGACUGAAGCGACUUAGCAGCAGCAGCAGCAGCAAGUUUAAGAAACAAAACCAUAGUUUCCUUGGAUGUUCAGAAAAGUGUAAAGCAAUCUCUCCUUUCAAUUAAAGUUCUUUUUCUUUCUUUCUUUUCUCUCU
Long non-coding RNA from Bos taurus (domestic cattle), 312 nucleotides. The record is from Ensembl. Lineage: Eukaryota; Metazoa; Chordata; Mammalia; Artiodactyla; Bovidae.